RNAcentral lists this long non-coding RNA (4166 nucleotides) under Bemisia tabaci. Its description in RNAcentral is "lncRNA ENSSSA1NGG012277". Lineage: Eukaryota; Metazoa; Arthropoda; Insecta; Hemiptera; Aleyrodidae. The record is from RNAcentral.
GAAAACCCCCCCGAAUCGGGGGCAUCGCUCCCCAAAAGGAAAUUCACGAACUCAGUGCGCAUGACCUUCACCGCAGGAAUCAUCUGAGCUCAGGGACACGGGGCCGACCCGACAUUCGGCAGGGCCCGUGCCAUGUUUACGUGUCUCAGCUGAUCCAAAAUGGGUCAAAAGAAUUGCGCAAUCCCGCCGUGCGUAGACGCAACACCCCCCUCACCCGCGCCCUGCCACGGAGCGCCCGCCCCAAUUGGAGUCGGAAGUUCAACCUUGCGAUUGCACAAUGCAUGUUCCCCUCGUUUUCCCUUUGUGUUGAGCAGGAACCAAAACAAACUCCGUUCAGUAGUUCCAGUUGGCGGAUUCGAACAUUUGGCGCGAAUGCGUGUCCGUCAUUCUUCCUCUGUUCGUGUCUUUGAUGAGGAAUUAUAAGUUACUCUGUGGAAAUUAAAAUUUCCCGCGGUUGAGCGCGUCGCGUCCCCCUGCGUGAGAUUCAUAUUUAAGGUCCAUUAAAUGGGUCACUUAAUUAGGUCCUUUCUUUUCCUUUUUCCGUGAAUUGCUGAACUCGUCGAUUCCGUUGUCUGGAUUGUGUUUGCCGAUUUGGAAAUUUGAUUUUGUUCCCUUUCGUGUGAGUGAAUUUUUACAAGGCGGUGUCCUAGAGUUUCGGUGAUCGAGUAUGGUGGACAGUUGUAUAAACUGAUAAGCCUUUAAGUAUACGGACAACGUUGCACUGCAAUUUAAUUUGUUUUGAAGUGUUUUCCUGUGCUGGAAGUGACCCUCAUUGACUCGAGGCUUUGUUUUUAAUGAUAUGCAUUGGAUCUGUCGAGCUGUUAAGGAAUUGCAAAUUAAUUAGAUGUAUGAGUAUUUUGCUACCAUGCAAGGAUCCAUCUUGUCUCGUCUUAAAUAUCCCAGAACUGAUCACUGACUCAUUUCUCCAGAACAUCCACAAGGCGAACGUUGUCUACACGAGCCGCUUCAACAAGUGGUAUCUCAGGACCCACUUGAAGAUUGAUGACUCAAAAAUAUUUACAUGCAGUUUUACUCAAACCUAUUUAAUACAAAAUGAAGGUUGCACCUCUGAGUAUUUUCUGUCUGCUGUCCCAUCAAAUUUUUCAAUCGGCUCUGCAGUUUUUGUUUUGAAAGGUGACUCGGGGUACACUAUCUAUCUAGGCAAAUUUCGGGAUCCCCAAAAGAUCCUGCUGAAUCCCUUGAUUCAGAGAAUUUCCCGAGGAGAGGAACCUGUGGUUGUACAGAUAGUAGACCCUGCCGAUGUGUUUGGAAAUGUUAACAGCUCUAAUCCUCCAAAGGAUGAAGUCACUCCAGAGUUCCUCUCUUCAUUAAUAAGGCGAGAGCUGAAGAGGGAACCUGAACGAAUCAUCAUUGGAGCCCCAAUUUUCGGAACGCAAAAAUUACUCCUACAAUUAGCCCAAGAACUACAAAUAACUCUAAAAGUGGACAGAGUGAGGGAGACAAUUUUCUCUUUUCUGCAAUUGAAUGAGGAUUUUUACAGUGCUAAGAAAAACCCAGAUCAUAUAGAAGUAAAGGACUUGAGUAGUUUUUCAUACAACUCUCAGCAGAAGAAAGUCAUCUUCAGUCCAGGCUCCAGGUUUGAAAAUGCAGUGUACGUCAAAAUCGGAUCACUACCUUGUGAUGAAUUGACUGAUGAGAAGUUGUCACAUGGAAGUAAUAUAUUUUAUUUCCUACCAAAUGUUCACACCGUGACUCAAGAUGACUUGGGUAUAUUUCUUGAUAAACUCAAGCCAAGAAAAAUUCUGGAUCUCCCACCAUUGUUAAUUGAAGCGUGGAAGAUUUGCAACUACAACAGAGAAGGCGACUUCAUCCCAAGAAUGAGGUCUCGUCACAACUCUCGGAUACUGUCCAAAGGAUUUCUUAGGAAUUACAAAACUAACCCAAAAAUUCUACCCAAAGAUCUUCAAGAAAUUUUUAGUCACUCUCGGCGACAGAGAUCUGCAGCACCUCGGUGUGAUAGUGAAUCUUUUCCAAAUUCAGACAAGGAGCUAACGGUAGUCAGUGUUGAAGGUGACAGUGAAAAAACCGUUGAACUCGUUGAGCAGGAUUCAAAGCUGUUCUGGAAAAAGCCUGAAGACUUGCUGAAUCAGAGUAGAUUAACAUCAAGUAAUUUGACAAAGAAUGAAGUUUCUGAGGAGCGAACCAAGCUUAUGCAGAGCUACUUGGCAUCCGAGUCUGAGCGACUAAAAGGAUCCAAGUCCUCAGACCCUGUAACCAAAGCUGUGAUAAGGCCUGAUAGAAAAGCCGCACCCAAGAGAGUUUUUAUUCAGGUUGAGGAGCAAAAAAUUACUGUGCGUAAGUAUAGGAUCCUCAACAGUCCUCCUUGCAGCAGAGAAAACUUAAGUUGGAAGCAAAAAUUUGGCUGUGAUCGCAAAUUAAGUUCAUCCCCAGAAGAAGAAGCAAUAGAUUCAGUUUCUGAUGAUGUUCCAACACACAACACCCAUCUGAGGCUGAAGCAGCUGUUGCAAAAGUCAUUACGCUCAGGAACAACACAAGCACCAAUUCCAAUUUGCAGAGUUGUCCUCCAUAAAUCAUCCUUGCUCCCAUCCGAUAAUAUCUGUGAUACUAAAUUUGAAGGUAAAAAAAGUCUUCUGACCUAUGAAGAGAAGGAUCAAAACAAUAAAAGAAAAAUGGGGAAUAUUCCUUCAAAGUUAGAGCUAAGGCAGGCUAAACAAUUGAAAGACAUGAGGAAAGAAUUAAAGAAUCUUUUGAUCAAUGGGACAUCUAAUUUAUGUCCUGUUAAUCUUGAGUCCCCUAACAGCUCAUUAUCCUACCUAAAUAAGACAUCUCUUUUAUCCGAACAAAGAGACUCUAGUAAAGAAAAGGACUUGAGAGCCAGUUUCAAAUGUGGGCAGAAAAACCAACUCAAGGCCGAGUCUCUAGGGGAUGGGAACAUGAACACACAGAGUGAAAUUAACUGCUCUACAACCAAGAAAAAGAGCCUGCAAGAACGAGAAUUGCAGUCUCUCAUCAUUGACGGAACUCCAAAUUUAUGCCCCAUUAACUGUGCUGCUUCAGAUAGCUCCGUUGAUGACAUUAAAAGAGAAGAAUUCAAUAGUCGUGCAAGGAGAAAAUGUGAGCCCAAAGAAGGUUCAAUUAAUCACGAGUCAAAUAUCGAGGAAGUACCUAGAACUUCAAAUGAUGAAAGUUACUCCAUAUCUAAAGAGAAAAACCAGCAUGUCAUAACCUGUAAUAAAACUCGAAAUUCAUCUCAAAUAAACAGUCAACCUGACAACCCAGUUUACAGGAAUAUAAAUGAAAAACUGAAAAGCAAUUCAAUGAGGUUAGCUGGAAACAGGAGUCAUGAAAACAGACAUCCAAAAGAUUCAAAACCUAAUGGAUUUUCCUCCUCUGAGCAGAGUUGUGAGUUAGAAGCAGACUUUUCUGAAAUUAAUUCCAAAGAAGAUUCUCCAAGAAGAUUUAGAAGUUGUAGAAAAGCAGAAUAUCCAAACUCAGAAAAUGUUGAAAACUUGUCAACAUCCAUUGAUGAAGGCAGUAGAAGCCUCAGAGUAAAUGGAGUUUUAGACUUAGGUAGUAGUGAUUCAGGUAGACUCUCUCUGGAAAACAACGAUGAUAAAUUUGUUGAAAGUCUUAAAGUAAGACAGACAUGUACCAAAAGAAAAUUAGCGGAGGCCUUUACAAGCCCUACCUCCAUGAUCUAUUCAAGAAAAUUGAGAAAAUACUCAGAUUCCAGCUAUGAAAAUUCUGAAGUUGUCUUCAAUCAUGAAACUGAACUUGGCCAUGAAGUUGGUAAUUCAAACUGUAUUCCUCAAAAAUGUGGAAGGAAAACUACUGAUCUGAGUCAAAAGACUCAUGUCCAUCCACCUCAAGGUGAGAAUUUAAAGAAGUUGAUCUCAAGUGGGUUGAAAAGUCUACUGGUACGAAAGAUGGAAAAGGAAUUUAAAGCAGGACUCAGUAGGAAUCAAGGGAGCCAGCAGUCAGAAAAAAAUUCUAUCAAAGCUAGCGCACAACCUGAAACUAAAAUCCCUUGCGUUUCAGGGAAGAGAGACCUUUUCUCUGCGCCGAGAGAGUCAAGAAAUUCAAAUGUGCCAGAAAAAUCAAGCCCACAAAACAGAGCCAAGAGCAAGGAAACUACUUAUAAACAAAGAGCUCUCGCUUCUCUCCAGAAAGAGUUAAAAAUUUAA